UCAUAAUUUCAUUGCUGUACAUGAAAAGGGGUCUCCAAGAGAGUCCUAACUCGGGUUCGACCUUUUUCCAGUGUGUUGGUUUGAGAGGUUGAAGCUGCCAGCAUGAUCUGGUUAGAUGCUGGAUUAGGUUUUCUGGUUUACUCCUCAGUAUCUUACCUAUAGCAGUUGCACCACCACACAAAAGACCUAGAAAUCUAGGCUUAUUUCUUAUUGAUACUCUUCUGCCCUAAUUUGAUGUUUUUGGGUAGAUGAGUGUUCUUAUGAAUCCCAUAGAUAUCUCAACUGCCAUGUGGUCCUGGUUCUAGACAGGUAGGCAAAUAGAUCAAUAGAUAGAUCCACAGCUCAUAUUUGUUGGUGACUUUAUGAUUGAUGGAUGAUAGGAAUAUUGGCAUUUUCUGCAGAUAAUUAAGCUCUUCCAUGGUUUUUGUAUUCUGUCUUUCAAUAGAUCAUAUCAAGAGUCGAUAAACUCAAACCCAGCAAAGUUCUCUUUUAAACUGCAGUGCCCUAUAGGGCAUGAUUAUGUAGUUUAUGAUAUUUAUGUUUUUUCAUCUUCUUACAUGUCCUUUUACUGUCAUACAAUCAUUAGUAGGAUUGUUAAUUGAGCUUCUUAGACAUGGCUCAAUUCAGGUCAUCCUGCAGCUUCAAUCACUCACUCACCAACAAAUGAUCCUUACUUUCUAUUAAUGGAGGUUUCCCAAUUUUGAAUUACUUGAUUCUCUCUCCACCAGGCCUAAUGAUCUCAACAAAACAGGUUACCUAAGAAUUGGACGUUGGAUACUUUGACAUAAGCUUUGAUCAACUGAUGGUGAGGUUUACCUAAUUCCACUUGGUACACGUGGAAGACAAGAAAGUUGUGACUCAGCCAAUCACUUUUGGGCUCAGAUGGCCACAGAUUAGUGAUUUAAUUUAAGCUAAUGAUCACAUCAAGAAGGUACCAUUAACAACUAAUCCAUUCAUAUGUGCUUGGUUGUCAAAGGUUAACUAUGAAUCAGGAUCAGUCUCUACCAACCAUAUAGAGACCCCCAUGGCUUGACCAGACCUAUAUAUCCUCUAAUUUCUUGGGUCAUUCUUGGUUUGGGCUACAUUAUUAUUCUUGUUUAGGUUUGUCUCUGGUUUGAUUCUGCUAUUGGUUCAGGCAUGUGUAGAUGGUGGUUAAAUAGACUGGGUCAGGUUUGAUUAUGGAAACCUUUGUAAGACCAAGCAAUUUACCACUCCUUGGGCUUGAGACUUAGGGUUACCUUGAUACCAAAAUUUCAAAUAUUUGAAUGGAAAUGUUUGAAGGAUAGUAAUUGACUACAACUAAAGUAAUAAAAUGAUUGAAACUUUAUGCCAUUGGUGGGUGCAAUAAGGAAAAUAAAUCCAAUAAUUUGGCACAUUCUCCUAAGCCAUGAGUUUUCUAAAAGACUUUAGGUUGCCCUCUGACUUAGGGACUACAUAUAAUAGAACUUGUCACUUAUGAUUCCAUUUUGAAAACUUGUUAGGCUGUUUGUUGAUAUCUAGAAGCUUUGACAAAGCAAUAAAGCACUACCUAAUCUCAAAUGUAUCUUCCUAGCCUAUACCUUAUGGAAUUCUAAGAGCUCCUAUCCUUUUGGAAAGAAAGUGAUCAACUUCAUCUCAAAUUCUACACCAAAUGGUUUUUUGAGGUGGACAAUAUCUUAACCUCAAAUACCCAUAUCAAUAAAUUCAACCUAGCUAGUAGCAUCUACACUAACUAGCUUUCUCAGAUGAUAUCAGUCUAUUGACCAAGAUAGAAACCUCUUUCUAUACUUGGAAACCAAAUAUUCUGAUAUGCUCUCUUCAGGACUCUAGCAGGUCCAUAUGAUAAUACUUCUUAUCUUAGAAGAUAUGGACCUGCUAGAAUCCUAAAGAGAGCACAUUAGAAUAUCUGGUUUCCAAGUAUAAAAGGAGGUUUCUAUCUUGGUCAAUAUAGUCUAACCAAAAGUCUGAUAAAUAAAACAUAUUUAUGUUAACUACUGAUUUAGCUCUGAUAAGAGUACACAAAAGGUUGGUUGGUGUGCAAUUCUAACAUCUUUCAAUGUAGAACAAUGGUUUGCAAGAACAGGUUCAGGGUACUGCAACUCAAUAAUUGAAGCAGAGCUAGAAGGGAUUAUUGUCCAAGCCUUUUAAGUUUGUGGAACUGCUGAAAAGGAAGGAGUCUGAGGAUUCUCACUGGGAUUUUUUUGCUUCUCUAUUUGAAGCUUUUAAUUUUUUGAAAAUAUUUAAUGACUCAGUUUCUCUUAACCCAUGGUGACAAAAGAAUCUCUUCAUCUACGGAUUCUAACCCUUUAAUUAGAUUAAGAAAGGGUAUAUCAAACCUUCAACGAUAAAGAACAAGAGUUAAUAAUGACAUUCAUUCUUCAUAGUCCAAUCAUAAUAUCAAAUCACUAUGGGCAAAGAAAAACUUACACCUUGUACAUACUUUCAUUAAAAAUAGGUUAUAUUUGAUUUUGCU
Macadamia integrifolia is the source of this 2452-nucleotide long non-coding RNA. RefSeq lists it as uncharacterized. Lineage: Eukaryota; Viridiplantae; Streptophyta; Magnoliopsida; Proteales; Proteaceae. The transcript is spliced from 2 exons. The record is from RefSeq and is a predicted model, not a curated record.